AAAGCGAUGAAGCUGAUGCACUGUACUUGCCUGGUGUUGUCGAAGCCGAUGAUGCGGACAUAGGCGCCAGGGUAUUCCUUCUUGACCUCCUCCAACUCCUUGAGCACCUGCGUGGCGUCAGUGCACCCGAACAUGGGAAGCUUCCACAUUGUCCAGUACCUCCCGUCCUAGUACCCUGGGGAGUUGCCGUGCUCACGGAAGACGAAACCGACCUUGCUGAACUCGAGGCAAGGAACCCAUUUGGAGCGGAUGAGAUACUCGAUCUGCUUCAGGAGGGACUCCACGGUGAGAGGUGGCAGGUAGGAAAGGGUCUCGAACUUCUUGAUGCCCUCAAUUGGCCACACCUGCAAUUAGAUUAAAAUUAGCACACAAAGUGUGAUUUGAGACACAUAUCGAUGGAGUAUUUCACUUCACACAUAUCGGUAUGAUGAUAUACAUACCUGCAUGCUCGUGAUCCUGCCACCGUUGGAGACGCUGCCGAGGCCAGCGCCGGCAGAGCGGCGGCUGACGGGGAGCCCGGCGGUGGACUUGAGGCCCCGGAAAGGAGCAACAGCGGUAGCCGCCGCCGACAUCACUGUCGGACCCAUAGCAUCCACCCUUGUAUCACUAGAGUAUAUCUACUUAGCUAAUAUGCUAAGUUUGGCACGGAGAGAGGAGGUCGAGUGGACUUCAUUCCUGGUCACAAGGGUUUAUAUAUACCAUAUAACAUACGAGCAAUUUGUGAUUAAUUUGUUGUCGUUCUAGGAGAUGUGGAAAGGGUGGAUGCCGUUCGUUGGUUGCCUUAUCCGUUCUAGAGAAGGGAUGGAUGACCGACGCUCGCUCAGCCGUCUCCUUCGUCCAUCGUUGCCAAUCUUUCUAGCUAUAAUUGGAAGUUCCAAAGGAACAUACGGUUUCAUGCCUACUUCCAUCGGCCUAUCAUGUACCAAUCCAAUAAAAGGACAUCGUUCAACCAUCAAUCCAUGUGUGUGUAGUAAGUGAUUGGCUACGAACCUUCAGCUGACUUGCUUUAUUGGAUAUUUCUGUAAAGCGAGUCCACGGUGUGUGGGUUUAAAAUCUCGUGGCGGCAACUGUUGACGGGUGCAAAUAUCAGUAGCCUUAAAACAAUAAACUUUACUCCGUCCCUUCCGAAAUGCAAGAAUGUCCUAAGUCAAACUUCUUAUGCUGCAGGACCAUAGUUUUUGAGGUGUUCUUCUCACGAGUCCACGAAGAACGGGAAUUUUUUGGUGUCGGGUAAGGGCGGGGGAAUAUAUAGAUGCUAGCAUCAGCAUGACGGGCUAACGGGUCAGGUAGGAUUUUGGACGACGUAGCACCUGACAUGUGGGGGCCACAUGUAAGAAAACCUGUCAAAAUGUCAUAACCCUCUGUUUUGGUCAACUUGAUACAAUCUGAUACAAAACGUGUGGUUUUCCUGACAAAUUAGCAAAUUUUGUGUCUCUGUGAGAAGCACGCCCCAAAAACUGUGGUUCCGUGAAAUUUAUUCACUAGUUACACUUUAUCUACAAACAUCUACGAUUCUAAAAUAGUUUGGUAUAUAUUUUCCGUAAUAUAAUUAUUUGAUAUUCUAAAUUCGGGGAUUUGUUCUUAUAAACUUGGUCGAAGUUUAAAAAGUUUGACUUCGGACAAAGUUACGACUUUUUACAUUUAGGAAUGAAGGGAAUACAUUUUAGUAAAGCAAUUGAGGAAUUGACAGAAUUAAAUAUCUUAAAUUAUACUGGUCCAUCGUGUACUCAUGGCAACAAAAUAAAUUUAUAGUCGAAAAGUUGGACCAUGAAAACUUAAAACGUGAUACAUUAAAAUUGUUGAAUCACUCUACAUCUUGUAAUUUUCUCUUGCAACCUUCUGGCGCGCUACUCAUUCCACAUUUGGUACUAUAUGUAUAAAUGUAUAUAUAUACCGCAUUAGGAGCCUCUAUUACUGUUUUAGUAUAAAUAGCAGUUUCCAUCGACUAUGCACUUCAUUAACUUUUUCUUCACGAGAUAACUUGCUUAUCGAUUUUCUUUAAUUAUCCAGAUGGCUUCUACUAGUUUGUUUCCUUGCUUACUGGGAUUUCCGCAGACUUUACGGUUAGGUAUUAUUGUCGUGUGGACAACACGGUGGCCGGAUGUUGAGAUGAUGAUGUCCUUUAUCUCCGUGUUGCUUCUGAGGACUGCGGAUCCGAGGCUAGUGGCGGUAUGGGAUGCCUCUCUACCUCUUGAUCAGGUCAAUCCGGCUCAGCAAGAGGCGGAUCGAUGGUGGCCGGUGUGACUAGAAGCGGGGAGGUAUAUAUGAAACGUUUCUUGCUUCCAGCAUCUCUUCUAGCGGUAUAUAUGUCGUCAGCUGGUUGAGGGAUUGAUGGCAAUCGAUCAUGGCUACGAUGACAUGUAUACGCGCCGGUAGGAACACAUAUCAGGCAAUGUCGAUGCACCUGCAUUGGGCCCUUGCUGAAGGUGGUGGUGCGUAUGGCAGUCUAAAGAUUUAAGACACAAAUUUAGACUUAAAACUUAAAUAAUCAAUUUGUGCCAGCGGGAAACACACAAACACGUACCGGUAAAUUAUCAUAAUCAGAAUUUGUCGACGAAUUUGAUAUUCUUUUACAAAAUAUACUUAUCUUAAUAUGUAUAACCGGAGUUUAUAUUACAUGCCCCUCUCCCAACGAUAGUUGUAGUACUCUUAUAAUAGUAGUACUCAUGAAUACAGUUAAUCCGGGUUGUUGGGAGAGAUCACAUGCAUAAAUACAACAUGAAACAAACGUGUGAAAAAGGUACAUAAAAUCGGUGUGACCCGUUCUUGUAUUAUAAGAAAUCAACUUGCUUAGGCCUUGCCGGACUCCUCACAACCCGGUGGCUUGAAGGCGAUGAAGCUGAUGCACUGCACUUGCCUGGUGUUGUCGAAGCCGAUGAUGCGGACAUAGGCGUCAGGGUACUCCUUCUUCACCUCCUCCAGCUCCUUUAGCACCUGCGUGGCGUCGGUGCACCCGAACAUGGGAAGCUUCCACAUUGUCCAGUACCUGCCGUCGUAGUACCCGGGAGAGUUGCCGUGCUCACGGAAGACGAAACCGACCUUGCUGAACUCGAGGCAAGGAACCCACUUGGAGCGGAUGAGAUACUCGAUCUGCUUCAAGAGGGACUCCACGGUGAGAGGCGGCAGGUAGGAAAGGGUUUCGAACUUCUUGAUGCCCUCAAUUGGCCACACCUACAAUUAGAUUAAUAAUUAGCACCGAAAGUAUAAUUUGAGACACAUAUCAGUAUUUCACUUCAACAUAUGUACAUGAUGACAUACAUACCUGCAUGCACCUGAUCCUUCCACCGUUGGAGACGCUGCCGAGACCAGCGCUGGCUGAGCGGCGGCCGAUGGGGAGCCCGGCGGUGGACUUGAGGCCCUGGAAAGGAGCAACGGCAGUAGCCGCUGACGACAUCACU
This 3398-nucleotide long non-coding RNA is filed under the name Brachypodium distachyon (stiff brome). RNAcentral's name for it is "long non-coding RNA (BDIS_LNC003394)". Lineage: Eukaryota; Viridiplantae; Streptophyta; Magnoliopsida; Poales; Poaceae. The record is from RNAcentral.